Kogia breviceps (pygmy sperm whale) is the source of this 341-nucleotide non-coding RNA. NCBI's taxonomy places the organism in Eukaryota, Metazoa, Chordata, Mammalia, Artiodactyla, Physeteridae. The record is from RefSeq and is a predicted model, not a curated record.
AUGGCAAAUCAGCUCUCUGGAGGAAGGACCAGGGUAAGAGGCCCGUGCAGAAGCAGAUUCAGUGUGGAUUUAAGCAAGUAAUUCUGGAGUCCCAGGGUUGGAAUUGUGAUUAAGGAAUGAACUGUCCCUGCCCUCAUGGAGUUUAAAGUCUGGAGAGAAAUCAGACAUUGAGCAGGCAUUUAUGUACCAGGAAGACAACACCUCCGUAUCUCUUCUGAGAACAUUCUGCAUGCAACAUUCCAUUUUUAGACUCUGUUUCCAGUGAACCCAGCUGAAGACAGUUAGUACCAGGAAUGGUCAUAGGAAAUAAACUCUAAGAGAAGAAUUUUUUGCUGACUCAG